UGGGGAAUAUUGGGCAAUGGGCGAAAGCCUGACCCAGCCAUGCCGCGUGAGUGAUGAAGGCCUUAGGGUUGUAAAACUCUUUCGCUGGGGAAGAUAAUGACGGUACCCAGUAAAGAAGCCCCGGCUAAUUUCGUGCCAGCAGCCGCGGUAAUACGAAAGGGGCUAGCGUUGUUCGGAAUUACUGGGCGUAAAGCGCGCGUAGGCGGCUUGCCAAGUUGGGGGUGAAAUCCCGGGGCUCAACCUCGGAACUGCCUCCAAAACUGGCUCGCUAGAGGAUGUGAGAGGAUAGUGGAAUUCCGAGUGUAGAGGUGAAAUUCGUAGAUAUUCGGAAGAACACCAGUGGCGAAGGCGACUGUCUGGCACAUUUCUGACGCUGAGGUGCGAAAGCGUGGGGAGCAAACAGG
This 404-nucleotide ribosomal RNA is filed under the name uncultured bacterium. RNAcentral describes it as "bacterial SSU rRNA". It matches the Rfam family "Bacterial small subunit ribosomal RNA", at positions 355 to 776 of the family's 1533-position model. The record is from RNAcentral.